CUUGCUUCAUGGCUGAGCAAUGAGACCCCAAAUGUUACAGCUCUGCCUAAUGUCCUUGGCUCUGUCCUGCUUUGGAAGGAAACAUGCAGCGGCCUGUGCUGCCAAUGCUAUUUCCUCUCUCGCUUGUCUUUAAAGGUCUCUUUUUCCAACAGCUGAUCGGCCCCGCAGCUCCGGGGAGGACGUGAGAUCCGGCUGGCCCAUGAGCUGGCUGGUAUGGCUGUGUGCCAUGUUGUUAUUUGUAUUGCUUUCAUUUUUCUGGCGUUACUUGGCUCUUCCACGCAACUUGUUUUCAUCCUGAACUAUGUGCUCAUUACAUAUCCAAACGCCCACGCGAGGUUUUGCAUGAGGAAACUCAAAACACACGCACAGUAGAGGAGCGAGUUUCUGAUGGGGGGGAUGAGAUACUUGUCUUGAGGCUGACACAAACAGUUGUCAAAUCCCUGAGUUUCCUGCAGUUGGGGUUCCAGCUCGCUGAUGACAAGCAUGUGAACACUGUGUGCAUCCUCCUGGCAAAGAGACGGGGGGAACAUCUCUUGUGGUCACCUUGGCCUUUCCCAGCAACUCCUGCUACUGUCCAAGGCACAUAUCCAGGGACCUCCGAGCUCUCUGGCAGGCUUGUCCCUGAACGCCAAAGGGACCUUCUGCUGCUAGGAAAGCUCUCACUUCCCUUCUGCGGCCCCAUCCUCAGAGAGCAGCCAGCCACAGGCAGCACAGAUUCACCCAGCCAGCUCUGGGCUGGGAGGCACCAAAACGUGCUGGAGGGUUCCAGUGAGGUCCCAAGUAAGGGGGGCAGAAGCAGGAAAACUCUGCACGGGGUUUGCUUCAUAAGGACAAGGAAGCUUGUCAAAGGCCUGGAGCACGAGUCUGAUGAGGAGCAGCUGGGGGAGCUCAGCCUGGAGAAAAGGAGGCUCAGGGGGGAACUCUUCACUCUCUACAGCUCCCUGACAGGAGGGUACAGCCAGGUGAGGGUCAGUGUCUGCUCCCAGAAACAGGAUGAGAGGAAAUGGCCUCAAGUUGUCCUGGGGGAGCUUUACAUUGGACAUUAUGGAAAAUUUCUUCACUGGAAGUUUUGUCAAGUACUGAAAUAGGCUGCUCUGGGUAGUGGUAGAAUCACCAUCCCUGUAAGUGUUCAAAAAUCCUCCAGAUGUGGCACUUGG
This 1157-nucleotide long non-coding RNA is filed under the name Parus major (Great Tit). RNAcentral's name for it is "lncRNA (ENSPMJG00000000528.1)". Lineage: Eukaryota; Metazoa; Chordata; Aves; Passeriformes; Paridae. The record is from RNAcentral.